GAUGAAGAACGUAGCGAAAUGCGAUAAGUAAUGUGAAUUGCAGAAUUCAGUGAAUCAUCGAAUCUUUGAACGCACAUUGCGCCCCCUGGUAUUCCGGGGGGCAUGCCUGUUCGAGCGUCAUUUCACCACUCAAGCCUCGCUUGGUAUUGGGCAACGCGGUCCGCCGCGUGCCUCAAAUCGACCGGCUGGGUCUUCUGUCCCCUAAGCGGUGUGGAAACUAUUCGCUAAAGGGUGUUCGGGAGGCUACGCCGUAAAACAACCCCAUUUCUAAGGUGGACCUCGGAUCAGGUAGGGAUACCCGCUGAACUUAAGCAUAUCAAUAAGCGGAGGA
Molecule: unclassified non-coding RNA, 331 nt
Filed under: soil metagenome
Description: partial contains 5.8S ribosomal RNA, internal transcribed spacer 2, and large subunit ribosomal RNA
Rfam family: 5.8S ribosomal RNA (bases 1-120)
Source: RNAcentral